Zootermopsis nevadensis is the source of this 2528-nucleotide non-coding RNA. Lineage: Eukaryota; Metazoa; Arthropoda; Insecta; Blattodea; Termopsidae. The record is from RefSeq and is a predicted model, not a curated record.
ACAUGAUGGAAUGAGCUCUGUUCUUUCUGUGAUACACAUAGUUUUUCUUUUGUGUUCUUUUUUCCACAGUUUUCUUCGAAAAAUGUUGCACACCGUUAUUUUCACAUUUCAAAAAUAGCUCCUGUUGUUGAUGAUUGGCUGUUGCGCAAUUCCUGUCCGCAAUCGAUACAGGUAUCGAGUGUGAGUCGAGUUUUAUUAACGAAGUAUUCGCUAUAUCCGACAGAUGUCGCCAGCAUGUAAGAACUCGAAUCUGAGUAUUGAUUUUCAAUCCAUUAAACUCAAGGGAAGUAACUACAGCUGCUACUUUUCUGUCCACAUCGCCUACAACACCAAAUAACAGAAGUCAGAAGUUAAACAGCAGAGACAUAUAUUGCCUAUGAGUACAAUGGUUUUUGAUGAGAGAAGAUUCCUUCUGGAUUUAAGAAAAUGGUGUUCAGUUUGCCAUACAUGCCCCAAGCAAAAAGAUAUGUCAACCGUAUAAAAUGUUACCAGAAUUAUUAUCCCAAAUUAAGAAGGAACAUAGAAGUAGUGUUCUCAUUGAUAACAUACUAACCACAUAUGCGAAGGUACUUGGACAGGAACCGUCAUAUGCUUCAGCUUACGAAAAGCAUUAAAUUUUGUGGAGAAUUUUGAACCAAAAUAUACCAUCAAAUUGGCUCCCAAGAGCAGUAAGGCAAAUUUGCUCCAGAAUUGUUCUGAUAGUUCUAAAGUUUGAUGGUAAAUUAUUGCCGUGUUAUCUUUGUGAAAAUGUGUGCCAUUUUUCUUUUGUGUAUACUUUUUGAAAAUUGAUAAUAUCUGUAAAAUGUAGAUACCAGAUUAUUAACAGUACGUACUAAGAAAUGCAUAAUAAUCUGUAAUUUUCAGACUAAGAGUAGAAGAUGUCCCUUUAUUCCAUUUUUCAUUAAAUUUGUUUGUCAGAAACUCAUCUUGCAUAUUCCUUGUAACCGCUCAUCAAUCCCUUUAAUGGCUUAUGUUAAUUCUGCACCUGUAAUGAAUCCAACUUUUAGGUCAUAAGGCUUGUUAUUGUCCACUAAUUGUCGUGUUUUGUCGGCUUGAACUUGGACCCGAGCCAAGCGGGAGUUGAUGUUACAUUUCCUUUUGAGGCAUGUUUACGGUAAAAAAAAGGAGUUUUGCCAACUGUUGCAACACAACACUGCGUGAGUUUGGGAGAAGUGGGCGUAUACUUGCGGAGGUGGCAGUAAUUUAUAAGAGGAUUGUGAAAUUAAUAAAGUGGUUAAUUGAUUUACUACGAACUGGCCGUGAACAUAAAUGAGAUGAGUCGUUGCCUACCGACUAGCAGAGCUAAGCAAAUAUCCCUGAGAGAUCCCGAGGACCCAACACACUCCACCAGUUACACACGGUCCGGGAUGGACUACAGUGUGUGAUCAGCCACACUGGUCCGUGGGAACGAUCGGUUACAGUGUGGUUAAAUCAGAGGUUCUCAAAGUGUGGGGCGCGCCCCCGUGGGGGGAGGGGAGCGAGUGGUUUUCUGGGGGAGGGGUUGUUUAUAUGAAAAACCUUUUUUUUAACGAAAUAUGGAGAAACAUUUUUAACAUCCUACCUGUGCGAGACUGGAUUUUCAGCUGAAGCUGCCAUCAAAACAAAGUAUCAUUUUACGAUGAACCUGGAAAACGACCUUGGAGUGACCAUUUCAAAACUCGAACCUCGGUAUGAUAAGUUAUGUUCACAGAAGCAACCACAUUCAUCCCACUAAUCCAGGAAUAUUUUUUUUCAGACCAUUAAGCAAUUCUUGCACAAUUUUUUUUUCAUGACUGAUGUACGUACGAGAUGUAAUUUCAUCUGUGCUGAUUCUUUGGCUGCCUCUGGUUUGCUGAUUGAUCAGUUCCUUAACCUCUUCUUAUAUCGCAACAGCGGACGUCCAGAACACCUUCAUCAAUUAGCUUCCGAACACUGAAUCUGUAUCAGAGAUAGUCGUUCUUUUUGGUAUAUUCUGAAUGGCAAUGAACAGUGUUGUGUUCGCGAGACGUUGUCGGAAGCUGAGUUUGAACUCGCCGUAGUGUUUGCAGAUGUUACGACGCCCUCGGUUUCGUUGUAGUUUUAUUGUUCAAUCUCUGGCUAUGUUCGAAACGACUAUGCUGUUCCAUUUCGUGUGGUUGGAAGUUGAAUGAGGAGAGACGAGGGUGAGAUAUGGCCGCCGAAUUUUUCUUACGAAACAUCUCGUUGAUGCUCGUAAGGUUCAUUUGCGUGCCGUAAAUCGACGACAUGGAGCCGCCGGCUGAAGGAAGUUGUGUUAUGGAUUUUUAUCACACCUUAAAAAUCCAUCGACCUCGGCCGGGUCUGAACCCGCGUACCUUUGGUCCAGUGGUGAUCACAUUAACCAUUAGUCUACCGAGGGUGACAAGUUCAUUCAAAUAUUACUUUGCCAAAAUAACAGCAGGGAAGUUUAUGAACAUGUUUUCUAUUUAAUAUUCUUAAAUUUAUAAUUCAUAUUUAAUUAGAAACUGUUUAACAAAAUCUAAACAGUUUAGGUAUUUAACAGAAAACUAAACUAUUUAACUAUUUAAAAA